GAUGCAAUGCCAAGUACCUUCUACAGCAAAGGAGACAUUGAUGAACUUGGUUACACAGGGUUUACUUCUUGCUUGUAGAAGAAGAGCUAUUCAGUAAACUUGGGAUGAAGGAGUGAAAUGAACACUAUCCUUUUCAUUUGAUUGUGGAACAUCUGAUGGAGACACAGAUGCUGAUGCCAUGAGACAAGCAGAUCUUCAUUAUUCUUUGAAGAUCUCCUCCAACCACCCUACAUGGCCAAAUAGCUUUCAGAAACUCAGUAUCUUGGUUUCACAGAGUCCAAGGAAGAAACACUAGCCCCUCCAUCAAGUAAACUCACUUAGAGUUAGUCAUUCUCCUGGAGUCAAGAAGCUGACUGUGAUGGCCACUGUGUCAUCCUGGACAACAUGCUGUGUAAACC
Molecule: non-coding RNA, 398 nt
Organism: Rattus norvegicus (Norway rat)
Lineage: Eukaryota; Metazoa; Chordata; Mammalia; Rodentia; Muridae
Source: RefSeq, a predicted model, not a curated record